CGAUAACGAACGAGACCUUAACCUGCUAAAUAGUUAGGCCAACGUUUGUUGGUCGUCAACUUCUUAGAGGGACUAUUGACUAUUAGUCAAUGGAAGUUUGAGGCAAUAACAGGUCUGUGAUGCCCUUAGAUGUUCUGGGCCGCACGCGCGCUACACUGAUCAAGUCAGCGAGUCUACAACCUUGGCCGGAAGGUCUGGGUAAUCUUUUGAAACUUGAUCGUGCUGGGGAUAGUCCAUUGCAAUUAUUGGACUUCAACGAGGAAUUCCUAGUAAGCGUGAGUCAUCAGCUCGCGUUGAUUACGUCCCUGCCCUUUGUACACACCGCCCGUCGCUACUACCGAUUGAAUGGCU
Molecule: ribosomal RNA, 351 nt
Filed under: uncultured fungus
Lineage: Eukaryota; Fungi
Description: SSU rRNA
Rfam family: Eukaryotic small subunit ribosomal RNA
Source: RNAcentral